UACAGAGGUCUCAAGCGUUGUUCGGAUUCAUUGGGCGUAAAGGGUGCGUAGGCGGCGCGGUAAGUCGGGUGUGAAAUCUCGGAGCUUAACUCCGAAACUGCAUUCGAUACUGCCGUGCUUGAGGACUGGAGAGGAGACUGGAAUUUACGGUGUAGCGGUGAAAUGCGUAGAUAUCCGGAGGAACACCGGUGGCGAAGGCGGCUUCCUGGACCGACACUGACGCUGAGGCGCGAAGGCUAGGGGAGCAAACGGG
RNAcentral lists this ribosomal RNA (253 nucleotides) under uncultured bacterium. Its description in RNAcentral is "partial 16S ribosomal RNA". It matches the Rfam family "Bacterial small subunit ribosomal RNA", at positions 524 to 776 of the family's 1533-position model. The record is from RNAcentral.